UUUAUAGUUAAUAUUCUGUAUUCUAAUAAUAGAUAACUUAUAUUUUCUCUUUAUAUUUUGAAAGGUUCAUCAGCCGCACUUGAAAGUUAAUACUUUUCUAUGGAUAAAUCUUGGAUUAGAAAUCCAAGGAACACCACGGAAUAUUUAUUUGGUUUAAAUCAGUUUUUAGAUUUUGCAUUUGCUAAUGUUAUUGUUGGAGAUAGAAUAAAGUAUCCUUGUCCUAAAUAUUGAUUCGCAAAGUGGCAGACUAGAGAGGUAGCGCUUGAUCAUUUGAUUUGCAAACCAUUCCCUCAAAAUUAUGUCACUUGGAGUAUUCAUGGUGAAAGAAAUAUACUGCCUAAUUCUAUAAAUAAUGUGGUUAUACAAGAUACAUUACCUCUUGAAAAUUCAGUAGAAUUAUUAAUCAAUAAAGCAUUUGGGAGCCUAAGACACGAUGGGGUUGAUGUAGGUCUGUCACAACUAGUGGGUGGUGAAGAAAGGUUAAAUGAUGAGUCUGCUUCAAAUGAUAAAGACUUUUUCGAGUUGCUUAGAGAUGGAAGUCAAGAAUUGUAUGAAGGGUCCAAGUACUCAAAACUAGAAUUUUUAUUAAAAUUGUAUCACAUAAAAUAUUUGUCUGGGCUAAGUGACAAGGGAAUGACCAUGAUACUAGAUUUGUUGAGGGACGCAUUUACAUUUGCACGGAUCCCUCAUUCUUUUUAUGAGGCCAAGAAAACUAUCAGCAAGCUUUGUCUUAAUUAUAUCAAGAUAGAUGCUUGUCAAAAUGAUUGUAUGUUAUUUUGGGGGAAUGAUUCUAAUGAGGAAACAUGUAAGUAUUGUCACACUUCUAGAUGGAAGCCUAACAAGAAGAUAAAUGAAGAUCUUGUGUCUUCUACAGGUAAGAAGAAAAUCAAGAAGAAAACUAAGAAGCCUGCAAAGAUUUUGCGUUACUUUUCAUUAAAACCAAGGUUGCAAAGAUUGUUCAUGUACUCUAAAAUAGCAAAAUAUAUGAGAUGGCUAGCUGAGGAUAGUAACAAAGAUGGAAUUAUGAGGUAUCCUAGAGAUGGUGAGGCAUGGAAGAGGUUUGAUAUAACGUUUUCUGAAUUUGCCUUUGAUCCUCGGAAUGUUCGGCUUAGCCUAGCUAGUGAUGGCUUCAAUCCUUUUGGCACGAUGAGUACUAAUUAUAGUAUUUGGCCAGUCAUUUUAGUUCCAUACAACCUUCCUCCUUGGUUGUGUAUGAAACAACCCAAUUUUAUUCUCUCAAUGAUCAUUCCUGGUCCACGUACGGUGGGAAAUAAUAUAAAUGUUUACCUACAACCCCUUAUUAAAGAGUUGAAUGAGUUAUAGAGUGAAGGUGUCGAAACUUUUGAUUCAUCAAAGAAAGAGAUAUUUAGAUUGUGAGCUGCUCUUAUGUGAACAAUUAGUGACUUUCCUGAACUCGAUAUCUUAUCUGGUUGGAAGUCACAUACUGGUUUAGUAUGUCCCACUUGUAAUUUUGAUGCAAAACCUUGUCGGCUUUGCCAUAGUAGAAAGUGGUGCUUUAUUGAUCAUCGUAGAAUUUUAGCAAGAAAUCAUAAAUUUAGACUGAUGAGACAUCGCUUUGAUGGAAAUGUGGAGGAAAGAAACCCACCGAAAAAGUUAUCCGGAUCUGAUAUUUUGCAACAAGUAAAAGAUAUUGAUGUUAUAUUUGGAAAAUCGGCUGAGUUGAAUGAGAGAAGAAAAAGAUCUAGACAAAAAAAUAUUGGGCAAGGUGCAGCACAACAAUGGAGGAAAAAAAAUAUAUUAAAGAAUCUUCCAUAUUGGGAGUUCAACUCGUUGCGCCACAAUUUAGAUGUCAUGCACAUCGAAAAGAAUGUGUUUAAUAAUAUUAUAUAUUCUUUACUCAAUGAUAAAGACAAGUUCAAGACAGCAAGCUCUUUCAUUUCAGGCCAUGGGGCAGACAAUUCCUUGCAUUCAGCCGACUACUUCAUUUCAGGCUACAUCACUACCAACUCCUUCAUUUCAAGCCACAAGACACCAAACCGCUUCAUUUCAGGCCACAACACUGCCAACUCCUUCAUUUCAGGUCUAGAGACAGACAACUCCUUCAUUUCAGGCCACGGGACAGACAACUCCUUAGUUUCAGGCCACUGGACAGACAACUCCUUCAUUUCAACCUCCAAUUAAUCCCACACUAGCACAAGCAACAUCCAAUUAGUGUGCUAAACGUGAGUCUUCACAUCAUUGGACUGUCGAUGGAAUAGGUAAUCAUUAUCCUUCUUCGUCUUAAUUCCUUCUUCUUAAUCUGCUACAUCUUUUUUGACUUUGAGAGAUUGGUGGUGUGCAUUUGGAAUAUUUUUGCUUUACUUAGAUUAGAUACACAGAAAGAUGAAAUUUUAUUUUAGAAUUGAAAGCAUAGCAAUCCAAAAAAUUGAAAGUUACAUAGCUGGUCCAUCUAAGAAGUCUCUUUUUUCUUCACUAGUUGCUCUUCUUUUGUUAGAACAGUAACGCUAAGAAAAAACUCGUAUUUGUGUUCUCCCAACAAUCUGAUAUUUUCUUUCUCUCAUGUUUUGUUGUAUGAGAGCAAGAUUAUUGAUGCUAGAAUUAAUAGUAGGAUUUUUGAAUAGACACAAGAAUUAUGUGAUGAAAUGGAUAAAAGAGAAAGAUCAUUAGUUGUUAACAUGUUAGUAUAGAAUGUGCCUUCUUGUAUAGUUGUUUGAAAAUGUAGACUUUUUCUGGGAAGAAUUAGUAUUUGAAAGCUUUUUCUGUUAAGUCCCCACAAACUGUUUGUUCAAACAGUUUUAAAAUUUUAAGAAUUCAUUUGAUUAACUAACAACAAACACAGUAAUAGUAUCUUUUAAUAUGGUCAAGUUGUUCUUAAUUUCACAAUAAUAGUACCUUUCAAUAUAAUAAAUUAUUCAUACCUCUCUAUACCAUAUCUCUUACCUUCACUUUUUGCUUUUAUUUUUUAUUUAUUGAAUAUUCACAUGGAGAUAUCAAAAGGCUCAAAUUGAAGACUAGAGAAGUAUUAAGUUUACCUCAGGGAGAACGUGUUGUGGUGGAGUUCGAUUGCUUGGAUCCGAUUGGCAAAGCACAAGGCCUUCUUGCAGGCGUAUGUGGCCUUUUAGCAACUGACUGUACCAUAUUUCCAAUCGGCUUUAAUAAAUGGUCGGAUAUGCCUAAGUCAUACUUUAACGACUGCUUUAAUAACAUUGUAAAGGGAUAAGCUCUAUAUCUUUAUAACUAUAUCUCUAUUUUGUCUUUUGUUUUUAUAUUUGUAUAUAAAAGAUAAAUUAACCAAAAUUUAUUUUCGAAGUCUCAUUUCUGUUUUAUGACCAUUGAGGAAGUUGCACGAGAAUAUGUUUAUCGCUCUAUUGUAAAGAAGUGGGUUGCAAGUAGGCAGAAGUUGUGGUAUGAGUUUAAAGACCUACUUAAAAUCAAAGAUGAGAUUAUGGAUAAUGUUCUGGUAGGUAUUACUCGGGAUCAAUGGACUUCCAUUGUGAACUACCGUUAUAAAGAAGAAACUCAGAACAUGCGUAAAAGAAAUGCUGAAAAUCGGAAGAAACAAACAGUUCCACACACCGGUGGCUCCAAACCUAAUUCUAGAAGAAGAGCUGAAAUGAUGGCUGAGACAGGGAAAAGUCUGGACGAGCAACACUUUAUCUUGCUACACAUACGAAAAAGAUGGAUCAUAUGUAAAUGAGGAGGCAAAAGAAAUAUGUGAAAAAAUUGAGCUAGCAGUGAGUGAAAGUACAUUGGAUGAGUCUGAAAUUUCUCCAAAUAAUGUUGUUGGUAAGAUGCUAGGCAAAGAGCAUCCUGGAAGGGUGAGAUGUUUGGGAUUAAGAGCUACUCCAAGCAAUACUUUCAUAGAGACAAAUCUUCGUCUUGGUAAUAUUAGAAUUGUGAGUAAUAAUGUUGGAUGUUCUUCUGGAUGCCAAGAGAAGUACAAUCAAUUGAUGAUUACUCUCAAAGCAUACAUGAUAAUGAAGGAAGAGUCAAUACCAGAACAAUUUGCUGGGAUCUUUGCUUCUCAUCCUACAAUGCCAAGUGAUGCAGCUAGUGGACCCGUUUCACCGACGGAUGCAAGAAGAUCUUCUGGCGCUAGUAAUCUCAGUGACAACCAUUGAGAUUCAUUUUAAUUGAAAUGGAUGUAUUAGGACAAUGUAAUAGCUGACUAAUAUAGAUGAUUAACUAUGUUCUAAUUUAGCUUGAUGGCAUAUGAUACUACUCUGUCACAAUAUUUUUCACUGUUAAUGAAAUAUUGAUGUUUCUUAAUUUUAA
Molecule: RNA transcript, 4236 nt
Organism: Nicotiana tabacum (common tobacco)
Lineage: Eukaryota; Viridiplantae; Streptophyta; Magnoliopsida; Solanales; Solanaceae
Source: RefSeq, a predicted model, not a curated record